UAUGGAUGUGAAAAGGGGAUGAAGGUAGUGGGUCUUACUGAAGAUCCACAAAGCUUGCAGACGAGCCUUCUGAACAGGGAGGUUCACUUGGCGACAAUGCUAUCUUCACUAGCUCGCGUGAGACUCGCUCCAAUAGACUGCAAAAUAGGACUGAGAGUGCGCACUUCAAUGCCCAAGUUAGUCGCUCUAUCGGGGAAGUUGAAUUAAUCAAGAAUAAUAUUAAGCUUAAGUGAAAAUGGUGUUAGAGUGAGUGCAUGUACAUACUUUUUGAAGCAUAGGGUUUUUAUAUGGGUGUUGAGAUGCUUUAAAGGGUAAAAGGGGAAUUUACCUUUGAAAAAGGGUGUGCAUAUUGUGCAUGGCAGUCGCUUUCUCUUUGCCAUGUUCGCUGCCACACUAGAGGGGAGGUGGUCUGUCACUGUCGAUGGGGCCACAGGCAGUUAUGCGCCUCUGCAUACAUUUUCUGCAAAAGUGACCCGAAUGAUCCCUGGAGAUCAUCCGAUUUAUCAACCUCAUUAUAUUAUGUUAGUCUCGUCCUAGGCGUCUUUUGCUAGGCGGGUGUCCGAAGGUUUAUAAUCAGUACUCAAGUAUCUCAUGAAUCUCUUUUCUUUGAUGGGAUCUGGUUGGGUUGGAGGCCAAUGGCGGGAUCCUUGAGGGGUCAUCGUAUCCAAUAUAGUCUACUUCGUAGGACGAAUAUUACUCCACAUCAACCACUCCCCCUACUCUGGGUCAUUUACCUUGGUAAUCAUCUCAAAGUAAUCUUUUUCCUUCUCUACGAUUUUUUCCUGUAGGAUCACCAUUUUCUAGCGACCUUUGAUUUACCGAGGCAGUGACAUCACCGCCAUCAAAUAUUUAUCACAUCUAUCACAUCCUACUUAUUUUUUCUGUCGUUUUUCAAACUCCUUAUUUUUCUCAACUGUCAACCAAUCUCCACUGUAGAUUUUAGGCAGUUUUUUUAUAUCUCCUUUUAUCUCCGCCGCCCAUGUGGGGAUAACUUCACACGACUUCCCUUUUAAAUAACUUCUUGCUUCUUUCUUCAACUUUUACUUCUUCGUUUCAAAACUUUUUUCCUUUUGUUUUGCGAAAGAUCGUUGCUUCCAGAAACCAUGUGGCAUUAUUUCACUUCUCGAUUCCACUCAUAUGUCGUCUCCUCGUUCUUGACCAAGUAUUUCUUUUCUUCCAUCUACACCUUCUUCCAUUUUCUGUUCUCGUUUUCAUUCGUGUUUUUCUGGACAUGUGAUAUUAGUUGGCGUUUUGCUUGUUUUAUUUUUGUCUUUGUUUAUUAUAUAGCCAUGAUCUUAUUAAGAGUUCCCUCUACUUUAUCAGAUGCCAAGUUGCAAAGCAUAAAACAUCAACUAGGCCCUCACCAGAAUUUUGACGUGCCAACUCUAAAUCAUGAAGAUCGUCCUCACAUUGUACUCCCUUCUAGUUUGGUUUUAUGGCAAAGCCAUUUUGAUGUAGGCCUUUGGUUUUCGAUAUUCCCUUAUUUAUAUAUAAACUAAAUCAUUCCUUUUAGUAUCCGCUUGAUAAACACUCAUUUUGUAUAGUUUUUAUGGCUUAUAUUCUAUGAAUUAUGUCAAAGUUGUGCCCCCAUUGUGUUAUCGUUUAGAGUUUAUUUCAUAUCAUUUCGUGAUUUCACGUUUGGGUAUAGUUUUGGCUAAUUUGAUGCAGGAAUGAGUGUUUCUGGAGCAUUUAGAACCAAUGGAAUAUGUCUAGGAGAAGAGAUAGAAGAGAAAGGCGAGAAAAAAUGAGAAAAAUGAAGAA
Molecule: long non-coding RNA, 1761 nt
Filed under: Salvia miltiorrhiza (redroot sage)
Lineage: Eukaryota; Viridiplantae; Streptophyta; Magnoliopsida; Lamiales; Lamiaceae
Description: long non-coding RNA (SMIL_LNC005906)
Source: RNAcentral